Hemiscyllium ocellatum (epaulette shark) is the source of this 570-nucleotide long non-coding RNA. RefSeq lists it as uncharacterized. The transcript has 2 exons. The record is from RefSeq and is a predicted model, not a curated record. Lineage: Eukaryota; Metazoa; Chordata; Chondrichthyes; Orectolobiformes; Hemiscylliidae.
UCUAAUUGAAGUCAGUCAACUGGGAAGAAUUUCUAAUGUACUUUUAAGUGGCUUUUAUUUAAAUAAUAAAUCCCAACAGCGUGGAAAUAAUUACUGGACUUUGAAAUCACUGCUUACACGUUUAAGCUGUUUUACAGAAAUGUGCUCUCAGUUCAAAGAGGAAGUCACAUCAUUUAUUUUUCGCAGAAGUUGUCUUUGUACAUUUUAUACACUCAGACAAAAAGUCCCCAUGUUUCCUCUUUCGGAGAACAAUGAAGGUACUUCUGCAGUGCAAGAGAUCAACGUUCAACUGAAGUGAUCUCCAGCAAAAAAAGAAAAGCAACAGAACGCACCAAAUGGUUCCAUGGCAACCCCAGGUCAUAUGAACAUUUCUUAAUGGCAGGAGAAAGUGAAGACUGCAGAUGCUGGAGUGUCAGAGUCAAAAAGUGUGGUGCUGGAAAAGCACAGCAGGUCAGGGAGCAUCCGAGGAGCAGGAGAGUGUUCAUUUCUUAAUUUCAUACUCCACAAUCACCUGAUGAAGGAGCAGCGCUCAGAAAGCUAGUGCUUCCAAUUAAACCUGUUGGACUAUAA